This 482-nucleotide ribosomal RNA is filed under the name uncultured bacterium. RNAcentral's name for it is "partial 16S ribosomal RNA". It matches the Rfam family "Bacterial small subunit ribosomal RNA", at positions 30 to 507 of the family's 1533-position model. The record is from RNAcentral.
AUUGAACGCUGGCGGCAUGCUUUACACAUGCAAGUCGAACGGUAACAGCACUUCGGUGGCUGACGAGUGGCGAACGGGUGAGUAAUACAUCGGAACGUGCCUAGUAGUGGGGGAUAACUACUCGAAAGAGUAGCUAAUACCGCAUGAGAUCUAAGGAUGAAAGCAGGGGACCUUCGGGCCUUGCGCUACUAGAGCGGCUGAUGGCAGAUUAGGUAGUUGGUGGGAUAAAAGCUUACCAAGCCGACGAUCUGUAGCUGGUCUGAGAGGACGACCAGCCACACUGGGACUGAGACACGGCCCAGACUCCUACGGGAGGCAGCAGUGGGGAAUUUUGGACAAUGGGCGUAAGCCUGAUCCAGCAAUGCCGCGUGCAGGAUGAAGGCCUUCGGGUUGUAAACUGCUUUUGUACGGAACGAAAAGCCCUCUUCUAAUACAGGAGGGUCAUGACGGUACCGUAAGAAUAAGCACCGGCUAACUACGUG